This 498-nucleotide ribosomal RNA is filed under the name uncultured bacterium. Its description in RNAcentral is "partial 16S ribosomal RNA". It matches the Rfam family "Bacterial small subunit ribosomal RNA", at positions 28 to 523 of the family's 1533-position model. The record is from RNAcentral.
GAUGAACGCUAGCGGCAGGCCUAAUACAUGCAAGUCGGACGGGAUUUGGGAGCUUGCUUCUGAUGAGAGUGGCGCACGGGUGCGUAACACGUAUGUAACCUACCUUAACCAGGGGGAUAGCCUCUCGAAAGAGAGAUUAACACAGCAUAAAAUAAUGAACUGGCAUCUGUUUAUUAUUAAAUAUUUAUAGGGUUAAGAUGGGCAUGCGGAACAUUAGCUAGUUGGUAAGGUAAUGGCUUACCAAGGCUACGAUGUUUAGGGGAUCUGAGAGGAUGACCCCCCACACUGGUACUGAGACACGGACCAGACUCCUACGGGAGGCAGCAGUAAGGAAUAUUGGUCAAUGGGCGGAAGCCUGAACCAGCCAUGCCGCGUGCAGGAAGACGGCCCUAUGGGUUGUAAACUGCUUUUGUACCGGAAUAAACCUUUGGUCGUGACCGAAGCUGAAUGUACGGUAAGAAUAAGGAUCGGCUAACUCCGUGCCAGCCGCCGCAGUAA